GGGGGUGUGGCUCAGUUGGUAGAGCGUUCGCUUAGCAGCAUCUGGUCUUCUUCUCUCCUUCUUCCAAAAAGACAAGAGAAAAGCAAAACCGCAUGCGAAAGGUCCUGGGUUCGAUUCCCAGCUCCUCCA
Schizothecium vesticola is the source of this 129-nucleotide non-coding RNA. The record is from the annotation of a GenBank genome assembly. NCBI's taxonomy places the organism in Eukaryota, Fungi, Ascomycota, Sordariomycetes, Sordariales, Schizotheciaceae.